This is a non-coding RNA of Candidatus Peregrinibacteria bacterium, 72 nucleotides long. Lineage: Bacteria; Candidatus Peregrinibacteriota. The record is from Rfam.
GCCAUCGUAGCUCAGUGGUAGAGCACCACCAUGGUAAGGUGGGGGUCGACGGUUCAAUCCCGUUCGAUGGCU